UCCUCGGUAGCUCAAUCGGUAGAGCGGGCGGCUGUUAACCGCCAUGUUGUAGGUUCGAGUCCUACCCGAGGAGCCA
This 76-nucleotide transfer RNA is filed under the name Desulfobacterales bacterium. RNAcentral's name for it is "tRNA-Asn". It matches the Rfam family "tRNA". Rfam says of the family: Transfer RNA (tRNA) molecules are approximately 80 nucleotides in length. Their secondary structure includes four short double-helical elements and three loops (D, anti-codon, and T loops). Further hydrogen bonds mediate the characteristic L-shaped molecular structure. tRNAs have two regions of fundamental functional importance: the anti-codon, which is responsible for specific mRNA codon recognition, and the 3' end, to which the tRNAs corresponding amino acid is attached (by aminoacyl-tRNA synthetases). tRNAs cope with the degeneracy of the genetic code in two manners: having more than one tRNA (with a specific anti-codon) for a particular amino acid; and 'wobble' base-pairing, i.e. permitting non-standard base-pairing at the 3rd anti-codon position. Lineage: Bacteria; Pseudomonadati; Thermodesulfobacteriota; Desulfobacteria; Desulfobacterales. The record is from RNAcentral. RNAcentral also lists the same sequence under 3 other names.